CCAGCAGCUGCGGUAAUUCCAGCUCCAAUAGCGUAUAUUAAAGUUGUUGCAGUUAAAAAGCUCGUAGUUGGAUUUGUGGUGUGUCCUGCCGGUCUGGAGGCUUUGCCUCUGGUUACUGUGCGGGUCUGCCUUUUUUGGGUGGAACCUGUGUGGCAUUAGGUUGUCGUGCAGGGGAUGCCCAUCGUUUACUGUGAAAAAAUUAGAGUGUUCAAAGCAGGCUUAUGCCGUUGAAUAUAUUAGCAUGGAAUAAUGAUAUAGGACCUUGGUACUAUUUUGUUGGUUUGCGCACUGAGGUAAUGAUUAAUAGGGACAGUUGGGGGUAUUCGUAUUCCAUUGUCAGAGGUGAAAUUCUUGGAUUUUUGGAAGACGAACUACUGCGAAAGCAUUUACCAAGGAUGUU
This 400-nucleotide ribosomal RNA is filed under the name uncultured eukaryote. RNAcentral's name for it is "SSU rRNA". It matches the Rfam family "Eukaryotic small subunit ribosomal RNA", at positions 567 to 968 of the family's 1831-position model. The record is from RNAcentral.